This 76-nucleotide transfer RNA is filed under the name bacterium. RNAcentral's name for it is "tRNA-Pro". It matches the Rfam family "tRNA". Rfam says of the family: Transfer RNA (tRNA) molecules are approximately 80 nucleotides in length. The record is from RNAcentral. RNAcentral also lists the same sequence under 1 other name.
CGGGGUGUAGCGCAGUUGGUAGCGCGCCACGUUCGGGACGUGGAGGUCGUGGGUUCAAAUCCCGUCACUCCGACCA